UCGCCACGGUAAUACCAGCUCUCCGAGUGGUGUGGAUGUUUAUUGGGCUUAAAGCAUCCGUAGCUGGCUGAGUAAGUCCCCCUGUUAAAUCCAGCAGCCUAACUGCUGGGCCGCUGGAGAUACUGUAUGACUUGGAGGCGGGAGAGGCUGCCGGUAGUCCCCGGGGUAGGAGUGAAAAUCCACUGAUCCCGGGAGGACCUGCAGUGGCGAAGGC
This 214-nucleotide ribosomal RNA is filed under the name uncultured archaeon. RNAcentral describes it as "partial 16S ribosomal RNA". It matches the Rfam family "Archaeal small subunit ribosomal RNA", at positions 462 to 673 of the family's 1478-position model. The record is from RNAcentral.